UUCGUACGAAGUUCGUUCUGAAAUGGGGUGGUUGGUGUAUUGUAUAGUUCUCGAGAUUGGAUUUCACUCAAAACCCACUAAAUGACUCCUCCCACAAUAUUAUGAUGUUCCCCAAGUUUUGGACUCAAUCCGAUAUCGAGUGGUCCACGAAAUUUGACAAUUCAGGUUCCUCCGAAGUUCGUUCUGAAAUGGAGUGGUUGCUGUAUUGUUUAGUUCUAGGGAUUGUAUUUCACUCAAAACUUACCAAAUGACUCCUCCCACAAUAUUAUGAUGUUCCCCUAGUUUUGGACUCAAUCCGAUAUCGAUUGGUAAUUUGAAAUCGGAGAAUUCAGGUUCGUACGAAGUUUGUUCUGAAAUGGGGUGGUUAGUGUAUUGUAUAGUUCUAGGGAUUGUAUUUCACUCAAAACUUACGAAAUGACUCCUCCCACAAUAUUAUGAUGUUCCCCAAGUUUUGGACUCAAUCCGAUAUCGAUUGGUCCUUGAAAUCGGACAAUUCAGGUUCCUACGAAGUUCGUUCUGAAAUGUGGUGGUUGGUGUAUUGCAUAGUUCUCGAGGUUGGAUUUCACUCAUAACCCACCAAAUGACUCCUCCCACAAUAUUAUGCUGUUCCCCAAGUUUUGGACUCAAUCCGAUAUCGAUUGGUCCCUGAAAUCGGACAAUUCAGGUUCCUACGAAGUUCGUUCUGAAAUGGGGUGGUUGAUGUAUUGUAUAGUUCUGGGGAUUGUAUUUCACUCAAAACUUACCAAAUAACUCCUCCCACAAUAUUAUGAUGUUCCCCAAGUUUUGGACUCAAUCCGAUAUCGAUUGGUCCUUGAAAUCGGACACUUCAGGUUCGUACGAAGUUCGUUCUGAAAUGUGGUGGUUGGUGUAUUGCAUAGUUCUCGAGAUUGGAUUUCACUCAAAACCCACCCAAUGACUCCUCCCACAAUAUUAUGCUGUUCCCCAAGUUUUGGACUCAAUCCGAUAUCGAUCGGUCCACGAAAUUUGACAAUUCAGUUUCGUCCGAAGUUCGUUCUAAAAUGGAGUGGUUGGUGUAUUGUAUAGUUCUAGGGAUUCUAUUUCACUCAAAACCCACCAAAUGACUCCUCCCACAAUAUUAUGAUGUUCCCCAAGUUUUGGACUCAAUCCGAUAUCGAUUGGUCCUUGAAAUCGGACAAUUCAAGCUCGUACGAAGUUCGUUCCAAAAUGGGGUGGUUGGUGUAUUGUAUAGUUCUAGAGAUUGGAUUUCACUCAAAACCCACCCAAUGACUCCUCCCACAAUAUUAUGAUGUUCCCCAAGUUUUGGACUCAAUCCGAUAUCGAUUGGUCCUUGAAAUCGGACAAUUCAGGUUCCUACGAAGUUCGUUCUCAAAUGGGGUGGUUGGUGUAUUGUAUAGUUCUAGGGAUUGUAUUUCACUCAAAACUUACCAAAUGACUCCUCCCACAAUAUUAUGAUGUUCCUUAAGUUUUGGACUCAAUCCGAUAUCCAUUGGUCCUUGAAAUCGGACAAUUCAGGUUCGUACGAAGUUCGUUCUGAAAUGGGGUGGUUGGUGUAUUGUAUAGUUCUCGAGAUUGGAUUUCACUCAAAACCCACUAAAUGACUCCUCCCACAAUAUUAUGAUGUUCCCCAAGUUUUGGACUCAAUCCGAUAUCGAGUGGUCCACGAAAUUUGACAAAUUAUGAUGUUCCCCAGGUUUUGGACUCAAUCCGAUAUCGAUUGGUGAAUGAAAUCGGACAAUUCAACGUCGUAUGAAGGUCGUUCUGAAAUGGAAUGGUUGGUGUAUUGUAUAGUUGUAGGGAUUGGAUUUCGCCCAAAAGCCACCAAAUGACUCCUCCCACAAUAUCAUGAGGUUCCCCAAGUUUUGGACUCAAUUCGAUAUCGAUUGGUCCGGGAAAUCAGAGAAUUCAAGUUCAUACGAAUUUCGAUCUGAAAUGGAGUGGUUGGUGUAUUGUAUAGCUCUAGAGAUUGGAUUUCACUCAAAACCCACCAAAUGACAACUCCCACAAUAUUAUGAUGUUCCCCAAGUUUUGGACUCAAUCCGAUAUCGAUUGGUCCUUGAAAUCGGACAAUUCAGGUUCGUACGAAGUUCGUUCUGAAAUGGGGUGGUUGGUGUAUUGUAUAGUUCUAGAUUUUCGAUUUCACUCAAAACCCACCAAAUGACUCCUCCCACAAUAUUACGAUGUUCCCCAAGUUUUGCACUCAAUCCGAUAUCGAUUGGUCCAUCAAUUUGGCCAAUUCCGGUUCGUGCGAACUGUGUUCUGAAAUGGAGUGGUUGGUCUAUUGCACAGUUCUAAAGAUUGGAUUUCACUCAAAAUCCACCAAAUGACUCCUUCCACAAUAUUAUGAUGUUCCCUAAUGUUGUGUUCCUUCCAAGUGCCAAUAUAUGGUUAGUAUAAUGGUACAAGUAAGGGUGUCGAACCACAGGGACCGAUUGGACCUCUAUAAAUUACUAGUUUUGAAAGAACCCUAACUAAAAAUGAAAGUGACAAUUUGAAAGUAGUUUUUGUGUUGUAAAUGAAAAAUAACUUCCAAUGCAAAAAGAAUGUAGUAGUGAAUAAUAUAUUGAUGUAGAAAGAAUAGGGAAGAGACCAGGGAUUUCGAAUUCACCAUUGCAAAACUAAUUCCAUGUUUAUAAAAUUAAACCGUACUCAACUACCAUUCUGUUUCCAGAGUUCGUUUUACAUAUAUAUGAUCAGCCAUAUGAUGUGUGGUUUUGAUCAAAUUCUCCUAAUCUGCAACCUAGUUGGGAUGUUCAACUUUGGUUCCAAGUUAAGAGUCAUUAGCAUGCAAGAAAAUGUUAAAGAACCAAAGAAAAUACACAGCAUGAUGUUUGCAUAGCAUUCUCUUCAUUCAUUCACAUGUCUAACAAGAUUAAGCAUGAUGUUUACUAUAACCUUGUCUAGAUAAUCUGUAGGCGACUCUAAUGGUGAUCAAACAUUAAAAUUGACAAACAAAUUGAACAAUAGAUUCAGUGAAUGAAACAAGAAACAAAUUGAUGAACUGAAUACUUUAACUUAGAAACAUGGAUCCAUGUUGCAAGGCUACAUCGAAAUCCCUAGCUAUGAAUUUAGUUACACAUCAUGUUCAAAGAGAUUAAAACAAAAAUAAACAACAUGAGUGAAAAUAAAUUCAUGAGAGGAAACCCUUGGACCAAUUAUGAUGUUCAACUUCUCCAAGAACCACCUCUUGCGCUGAGUCCUGAUGGUGGAAAUAUAUGGACGGCUAGGGUUUUAGUGUGCAUGAAAGGAGAGAAUAACCAAGAAGUCAGAUCUAGGGUUGUGAAAUUCGUCCAAAAUAAAUAGGGGUUUUAGAAGUGGCUAAAAGGCAAGUUUUUAUGGGGUAAACAAGGCUGCAAGAUGUUCCAAAGAUAUCCUAAUGAAUCAGCCUUUAUUUUGCACGUUUUUGCCGUAUUUGGCACCUCCAAAUCAGGCUAGAAAUCCCCAUUGCUUUCCCAUUCCGCUCUUAGUCUUCAAACAAGCCAGGUUCGCCUUGCAUUCUUUAUUUGGACUUCAAAACAGAUCACGAAACUUGUUUCCACGUUUGAAUAAGGGUCAGCUCCAAAAAUGGCAUGUUUUCAUUUCUUUUGCCUUCAACUUGAUCCUAAAGUAUAUGCAACUGCAUACUAACACAAAAUAGGAUAAAACGCAACAAGUUUAACUCAAAAACAUCACAAAUAUACUAGAAAUGGAUGGUAUAAAUGUAUAAAUAUAUGAGUUAUCACCUAAGUUUUGGACUUGAUAAGUUCAUAAUUUCACACAUUUGCAUGCCUUCUUUCCUUAGUAAUUUUGUUAGCUUCUCUUUAUUUUGAGUCUCUUACCUAUGUUUGUGUGCUUUGUAGGUUAAGAUAGCAAGGGGAUGACAUUUGAUAUAAUUCAUGCAUGUUAAGGGCUGAGUGGCACAAGAGGAAUAUGAGCUUAAAGACAAAACCAAUUUGUGCCACACUCCUUGUCAGUCCAGUUUCGUAGGUCAUCUUGCAGGCCUCAUUUCAGUAACUUACACAGGUCGGAUGAGGAGACAUCCUUCCUAGAAGUUGUUCCAAUGGGUGUCUAUUAUAACAUAUCCAAAUUGCAGCCCAAUUGGAUAAAUCUGGAGCCAUCAACACGUCAAAGACUGAACCAAGUUCACAGAAAUGUCAUGUUGGCUGCCAUCAUAUUUAAUGUGGCUACAUCCCUAGAGCCAUGUGCUACACAUUAGAGCAGCCACACAUGGGAGACAAAUCAGUAUGGGAACUCAAAAACCAAGAAAAGUCCAACAGGCAAGUAUGGGCAGCUGGAGCAACAGGCAAGUAUGGGCAGCUGGAGCAACAGGCAUGUAUGGGCAGCUAGAGCAGUUGGCAGCAGCUAAGAGAGGUGUGCUUCACCAGCCAAAGGGGAGCACGAAUUCGCACUCUAUAAAUAGAGAGUUGAACACUCAUUCAAGGAGAGAGAGGGCAGACACACACAUUCAUUUCAUCCAUUACUUUCAUACACACAUUCAGAUUCACCACAAAGAGAGAAGGGAGCUUGGAGCUGUCCUGGGAACUUCCUCGCUGCCAUCAUCUAGUUCUUCUCGUCUCUUUAUCCUAUCUAUGUAUUUCUUAUUUUCUGUAUUUAUAGUUAUGUCUAACUAAUCCAUUUAGUUAGGGCUUAGGAUGAAGCCCUAGUCAUGAAUAUUCAAUGUUAUGGAUGAUUUUAUAGUUAAUUGAUUUCCUUGCUUUUAUUAUCAAGUUGUUAAUCUCUAGUUUAUUAUGUGCUUGAUGUAUGUUCUCUUGGAGUAGCUAACUAGGAUUUUAUGCAUCUAGCACAGGUUGGGAAGGGGUUUAGAUUCACCAAUUCUACUCUCCUUUCACAAGCAACACAUGAAUGGCCUAAGAAUCAUUGAAGGGGUUAAUAACCAUAGGUUGACUAGGACAGAUACCAUGUUCUAGGACUUGUGUGAUUAUCAUAUUCUCAAGGAGCUUAAUGACUCUUGUAUGCUUUAUUCUAAGUAGAUACCAUGCUUAGGUUGCAUAUUAGAGAUCACGUGUUGUGUAGAUACCAUGCAUAAUCACAUGCCUUAGGAGAAUCAUGCAUCCUGCACCUAGAUACCAUAGGCUUGUAUAAGAUCUAAUGAAGCUUGAGUCAAUUUCUAUGCAUUCAUCACUUGGAUAGGAAAACUAGUGGUGGAUUCCAAGGCUCUAACACCUCUCCAUCAUUGUUUCACAACUUGUUGAUUGCUGCCAGUGUUUACUUUCGAGCACUUUCAUUUCACUUUCUUGUUUUCAUUUCAACAACAAAACCCCCCAUUUCGAGUGCGUGUGUGGUGCUAGGAUUCUGUCCUAGACCUUGAGUAAUUAGCAAGAGGCAUUGUUGAAUUUGACCUUGCCUUUAGCUAGUUAGUCAGUUUCUUUGUUCUAUGUUUUUCUAGCAUUCUAAGUAAUUUAACUUGGAACCAAGUUACCAUUCUCCGUGGGAUCGACCUCGUAUUUACAUAAGCUAUACUAUAAACGGUUCGUGCACUUGCGAGAAUUAAAGUUGCUGUUUUUAAUAACUCAUUUUAGUUGUUAAGAAUAGGCUCAACAGGACUCAAUCCGAUAUCGAUUGGUCCUCGAAAUCAGACAAUUCAGGUUCAUACGAAGUUCGUUCUGAAAUGGUGUGGUAGGUGUAUUGUAUAGUUCUAUUGAUUGUAUUUCACUCAAAACCAACCAAUUGACUCCUCCCACAAUAUUAUGUUGUUCCCCAAGUUUUGGACUCAAUCCGAUAUCGAUUGGUCAAUGAAAUCGGGCAAUUCAAGUUCGUACGAUGUUCGUUCUGAAAUGGAGUGGUUGGUGUAUUGUAUAGUUCUAGGGAUUGGAUUUCACUCAAAACCCACCAAAUGACUCCUCCCACAAUAUUAUGAUGUUCCCCGAGUUUUGGACUCAAUCGGAUAUCGAUUGGUCCUUGAAAUCGGACAAUUCAGGUUCGUACGAAGUUCGUUCGGAAAUGGAGUGGUUGGUGUAUUGUAUAGUUCUAGAGAUUGGAUUUCACUCAAAACCCACCAAAUGACUCCUCCCACAAUAUUAUGAUGUUCCCCAGGUUUUGGACUCAAUCCGAUAUAGAUUGGUCAAUGAAAUCGGACAAUUCAAGUUCGUAUGAAGGUCGUUCUGAAAUGGAGUGGUUGGUGCAUUGUAUAGCUGUAGGGAUUGGAUUUUACCCAAAAGCCACCAAAUGACAACUCCCACAAUAUUAUGAUGUUCCCCGAGUUUUGGACUCAAUCCGAUAUCGAUUGGUCCUUGAAAGCGGACAAUUCAGGUUCGUACGAAGUUCGUUCUGGAAAUGGGUUGGUUGGUGUAUUCUAUAGUUCUAGAGAUUGGAUUUUACCCAAAAGCCACCAAAUGACAACUCCCACAAUAUUAUGAUGUUCCCCGAGUUUUGGACUCAAUCCGAUAUCGAUUGGUCCUUGAAAUCGGACAAUUCAGGUUCGUACGAAGUUCGUUCAUAAAUGGGGUGGUUGGUGUAUUGUAUAGUUCUGGAGAUUGGAUUUUACCCAAAAGCCACGAAAUGACAACUCCCACAAUAUUAUGAUGUUCCCUGAGUUUUGGACUCAAUUUGAUAUCGAUUGGUCCUUGAAAUCGGACAAUUCAGGUUCGUACGAAGUUCGUUCAUAAAUGGGGUGGUUGGUGUAUUGUAUAGUUCUAGGGAUUGUAUUUCACAAAAAACCCACCAAAUGACUCUUCCCACAAUAUUAUGAUGUUCCCCAAGUUUUGGACUCAAUCUGAUAUCGAUCGGUCCACGAAAUUUGACAAUUCAGGUUCGUACGAAGUUCGUUCAGAAAUGGAGUGGUUGGUGUAUUGUAUAGUUGUAGGGAUUGGAUUUCACUCAAAAUCCACCAAAUGACUCCUCCCACAAUAUUAUGAUGUUCCCUAAGUUUUGGACUCAAUCCGAUAUCGAUUGGUCCUUGAAAUCGGACAAUUCAGGUUCAUACGAAGUUCGUUCGGAAAUAUAGUGGUUGGUGUAUUGUAUAGUUCUGGAGAUUGGAUUUUACUCAAAAGCCACCAAAUGACAACUCCCACAAUAUUAUGAUGUUCCCUGAGUUUUGGACUCAAUCCGAUAUCGAUUGGUCCUUGAAAUCGGACAAUUCAGGUUCGUACGAAGUUCGUUCAUAAAUGGGGUGGUUGGUGUAUUGUAUAGUUCUAGAGAUUGUAUUUCACUCAAAACCCACCAAAUGACUCCUCCCACAAUAUUAUGAUGUUCCCCAAGUUUUGGACUCAAUCCGAUAUCGAGUGGUCCACGAAAUUUGACAAUUCAGGUUCGUACGAAGUUCGUUCUGAAAUGGAGUGGUUGGUGUAUUGUAUAGUUCUAGGGAUUGUAUUUCACUCAAAACUUACCAAAUGACUCCUCCCACAAUAUUAUGAUUUGCUCCAAGUUUUGGACUCAAUCCGAUAUCGAUUGGUCCUUGAAAUCGGACAAUUCAAGUUCCUACGAAGUUCGUUCUGAAAUGGAGUGGUUGGUGUAUUGUAUAGUUCUAGGGAUUGUAUUUCACUCAAAACUUACCAAAUGACUCCUCCCACAAUAUUAUGAUGUUCCCCAAGUUUUGGACUCAAUCCGAUAUCGAUUGGUCCUUUCAAUCGGACAAUUCAGGUUCCUAUGAAGUUCGUUCUGAC
RNAcentral lists this long non-coding RNA (7580 nucleotides) under Prunus persica (peach). RNAcentral's name for it is "long non-coding RNA (PPER_LNC008550)". Lineage: Eukaryota; Viridiplantae; Streptophyta; Magnoliopsida; Rosales; Rosaceae. The record is from RNAcentral.